This 446-nucleotide ribosomal RNA is filed under the name uncultured bacterium. Its description in RNAcentral is "partial 16S ribosomal RNA". It matches the Rfam family "Bacterial small subunit ribosomal RNA", at positions 338 to 795 of the family's 1533-position model. The record is from RNAcentral.
CCUACGGGUGGCAGCAGUCGAGAAUCAUUCACAAUGGUGGAAACCCUGAUGGUGCGACGCCGCGUGGGGGAAUGAAGGUCUUCGGAUUGUAAACCCCUGUCAUGUGGGAGCAAAUUAAAAAGAUAGUACCACAAGAGGAAGAGACGGCUAACUCUGUUCCAGCAGCCGCGGUAAUACAGAGGUCUCAAGCGUUGUUCGGAAUCACUGGUCGUAAAGCGUGCGUAGGCUGUUUCGUAAGUCGUGUGUGAAAGGCGCGGGCUCAACCCGCGGACGGCACAUGAUACUGCGAGACUAGAGUAAGGGAGGGGGAACCGGAAUUCUCGGUGUAGCAGUGAAAUGCGUAGAUAUCGAGAGGAACACUCGUGGCGAAGGCGGGUUCCUGGACAUUAACUGACGCUGAGGCACGAAGGCCAGGGGAGCGAAAGGGAUUAGAUACCCCUGUAGUC